UACAUAGGGACCAAGCGUUGUUCGGAUUUACUGGGCGGAAAGGGCGCGUAGGCGGCAAAUUAAGUCAUCUGUGAAAUCUCCGAGCUUAACUCGGAACGGUCAGGUGAUACUGAUCUGCUAGAGUGCGGAAGGGGCAAUCGGAAUUCUUGGUGUAGCGGUGAAAUGCGUAGAUAUUAAGAGGAACACCUGAGGUGAAGACGGGUUGCUGGGCCGACACUGACGCUGACAGCGCGAAAGCCAGGGGAGCAAACGGG
This 254-nucleotide ribosomal RNA is filed under the name uncultured bacterium. Its description in RNAcentral is "partial 16S ribosomal RNA". It matches the Rfam family "Bacterial small subunit ribosomal RNA", at positions 524 to 776 of the family's 1533-position model. The record is from RNAcentral.